ACUUAAAUGUAACCGCACAGAGUAGGUAUUAAGUCUUAGACGCCUACAAUGGCGAGUCUUAUUUAUGAG
Molecule: regulatory RNA element, 69 nt
Organism: Peptoniphilus sp. BV3C26
Lineage: Bacteria; Bacillati; Bacillota; Tissierellia; Tissierellales; Peptoniphilaceae
Source: Rfam